CUGUCUGAAUAUGGGGGGACCAUCCUCCAAGGCUAAAUACUCCUGACUGACCGAUAGUGAACCAGUACCGUGAGGGAAAGGCGAAAAGAACCCCGGCGAGGGGAGUGAAAAAGAACCUGAAACCGUGUACGUACAAGCAGUGGGAGCACGCUUAGGCGUGUGACUGCGUACCUUUUGUAUAAUGGGUCAGCGACUUAUAUUCUGUAGCAAGGUUAACCGAAUAGGGGAGCCGAAGGGAAACCGAGUCUUAACUGGGCGUUAAGUUGCAGGGUAUAGACCCGAAACCCGGUGAUCUAGCCAUGGGCAGGUUGAAGGUUGGGUAACACUAACUGGAGGACCGAACCGACUAAUGUUGAAAAAUUAGCGGAUGACUUGUGGCUGGGGGUGAAAGGCCAAUCAAACCGGGAGAUAGCUGGUUCUCCCCGAAAGCUAUUUAGGUAGCGCCUCGUGAAUUCAUCUCCGGGGGUAGAGCACUGUUUCGGCAAGGGGGUCAUCCCGACUUACCAACCCGAUGCAAACUGCGAAUACCGGAGAAUGUUAUCACGGGAGACACACGGCGGGUGCUAACGUCCGUCGUGAAGAGGGAAACAACCCAGACCGCCAGCUAAGGUCCCAAAGUCAUGGUUAAGUGGGAAACGAUGUGGGAAGGCCCAGACAGCCAGGAUGUUGGCUUAGAAGCAGCCAUCAUUUAAAGAAAGCGUAAUAGCUCACUGGUCGAGUCGGCCUGCGCGGAAGAUGUAACGGGG
Molecule: ribosomal RNA, 746 nt
Filed under: Escherichia coli
Lineage: Bacteria; Pseudomonadati; Pseudomonadota; Gammaproteobacteria; Enterobacterales; Enterobacteriaceae
Description: partial 23S ribosomal RNA
Rfam family: Bacterial large subunit ribosomal RNA
Source: RNAcentral